UAUGACCGGACUGGAUCGCAUGUCAAUAAGUGGGGGAACUAGCUGACAUUCUGCGACCCAGUUCUGAUCAUAUUAUUUUGUAGGGGAACUAACUCUGAAUAAUGAUGGUAGAGCAUAGGUAACGCAUUGUCUGAUUUUCUUUGUAUAACGCACAAGAAGUCAAUAAAACACUAAGUUCGAUGAUUGUAUAUUAAUUAUUCUCG
This 203-nucleotide long non-coding RNA is filed under the name Mytilus galloprovincialis (Mediterranean mussel). Lineage: Eukaryota; Metazoa; Mollusca; Bivalvia; Mytilida; Mytilidae. The record is from RNAcentral.